Long non-coding RNA from Lathyrus oleraceus (garden pea), 337 nucleotides. RefSeq lists it as uncharacterized. NCBI's taxonomy places the organism in Eukaryota, Viridiplantae, Streptophyta, Magnoliopsida, Fabales, Fabaceae. The record is from RefSeq and is a predicted model, not a curated record. The transcript is spliced from 3 exons.
UUUAUCAGUUAACUCUCUAUACAGGUCUGGAAAAUAGAGUUUUGUUUUGUUGACUUUUAGUUAGGGAUUCAUCGAAACUGAUUCUCAAGUACCAAUUGGUGUCACUCCAUAGUAUAUGGUUGGUUUUUACAUGAUCAAGAGUGGUUCCUGUUCCACUGAAUUUCUCCAUAAUAUGCAAAAGUUUGCUUCUUGGGGCAAUAGGAUGUGGAUCUCAGAUUUUGGGGUAUAUUAGUAUUAAUUAUAGUUCUCCAACACUUGUUAAGGAUGGAAAAGUUAGCUAUAAAGAGUAGAAGUAGCAAUGCUAAGGUAAUGGGAAGCAUAAUAUCAAUAGCAGGUG